GCAUAUCAAUAAGCGGAGGAAAAGAAACCAACAGGGAUUGCCCCAGUAACGGCGAGUGAAGCGGCAACAGCUCAAAUUUGAAAUCUGGCCUCACGGCCCGAGUUGUAAUUUGCAGAGGAUGCUUUUGGCGCGGCGCCUUCCGAGUGCCCUGGAACGGGACGCCAUAGAGGGUGAGAGCCCCGUCUGGUUGGAUGCCUAGCCUCUGUAAAGCUCCUUCGACGAGUCGAGUAGUUUGGGAAUGCUGCUCAAAAUGGGAGGUAUAUGUCUUCUAAAGCUAAAUAUUGGCCAGAGACCGAUAGCGCACAAGUAGAGUGAUCGAAAGAUGAAAAGCACUUUGAAAAGAGGGUUAAAUAGUACGUGAAAUUGUUGAAAGGGAAGCGCUUGUGACCAGACUUGGGCUUGGUGAAUCAUCCGGCGUUCUCGCCGGUGCACUUUGCCUGUCCAGGCCAGCAUCAGUUCGCUCCGGGGGAUAAAGGCGUGGGGAAUGUGGCUCCUCCGGGAGUGUUAUAGCCCCGCGUGUAAUACCCUGUGGCGGACUGAGGUUCGCGCUCCGCAAGGAUGCUGGCGUAAUGGUCAUCAGCGACCCGUCUUGAAACACGGACCAAGGAGUCGUCUUCGUAUGCGAGUGUUCGGGUGUCAAACCCCUACGCGUAAUGAAAGUGAACGCAGGUGAGAGCUUCGGCGCAUCAUCGACCGAUCCUGAUGUUCUCGGAUGGAUUUGAGUAAGAGCAUACGGGGCCGGACCCGAAAGAAGGGUGAACUAUGCCUGUAUAGGGUGAAGCCAGAGGAAACUCUGGUGGAGGCUCGCAGCGGGUUCUGACGUGCAAAUCGAUCGUCAAAUAUGGGCAUGGGGGCGAAAGACUAAUCGAACCUUUCUAGUAGCUGUUCGCGAG
This 893-nucleotide ribosomal RNA is filed under the name Niesslia sp. 'griseo-ochraceum'. Its description in RNAcentral is "LSU rRNA". It matches the Rfam family "Eukaryotic large subunit ribosomal RNA", at positions 38 to 961 of the family's 3401-position model. Lineage: Eukaryota; Fungi; Ascomycota; Sordariomycetes; Hypocreales; Niessliaceae. The record is from RNAcentral.